Long non-coding RNA from Rattus norvegicus (Norway rat), 15593 nucleotides. RefSeq lists it as uncharacterized. The record is from RefSeq and is a predicted model, not a curated record. Lineage: Eukaryota; Metazoa; Chordata; Mammalia; Rodentia; Muridae.
GCUCUGGGAUUGGCUCACCUUGGCACUCUUUGCUGAUGUUGGUCUUUGUUGACAACACUGUGGUGUUUGCCUUCCUCAGACUUCACAGGGAGAAACGCACGAAAGAAACUUCUUGUGAUAUCCCCUCAGCUUCUUGCCUCUGUGUACUCGGGCCGAUUGGCAGAGCCACCCGGUUUCUUCUGGAUGGAACGGCCAUUGCCAUCUUCGAAUGGUGUUUGUGAGUGGAACAGAGCUGUCUUUCCAGUCCUCUGUUUUCCCUUUUAACAACUGAGGGUGUUGCAGUCUGCUCUGUGGUCCGAUUUUGGAUUCAUUGACCGAAAAACAUGUUCUACUCUUUCUUGUUGGGAGCGAUGCCCUUGAAACCCUCCAUUAUUAAUGAUAUUAUUAUGGUUAGAAUUAAGUAUGACUGGGUUCAUGGAAAAUCCCCAGCCAGCUGCAGAAGACUAAUACAAAUCUGGUGGUCAAGAUAAAUAAUAAUAUGAUAAAGUUCUCUUGCUGAGAAGUACAUCUGACGUCAAGAUACCCAAUGUGAUGACCUGUCACCUUUCUGAGAAACCAACAUCCUGCUAUUAGAUAUGGCAAACCUGUGACCUUUCUGACAUCCUGUCAACAUCAGCUGAUUCUCUGACCACACGAAUACCGUGUCCUUGGCCUGCAUAAAUGUUUCACACUUCCCUCCUCCCUCUGUUACCCCUGUUAUGGUAUAAAUUCAGCCUUGGGGAAAAAUAAAAUUGUCGCCUUGAUCAGACUCUUGGCGUCCUUCUUCACAUCCCUUGUCCUCCAUUCUCUUACAGGUACCCUCUGCACCCCUCGUUGACACUUUCUCCCCUCUUAGCUUAUUGGUCAUAACUUUUUCCCUUUUAAACUUAUUUUUGUAGUGGUUGCCAUAAUAAGAAAGUUUAACUUGUCAGAAACGUUAUCUUCAGAAAAUAUAUUCCCCCCCCACAGCCUGUGUAUUACUACUUCUUCCUCCCUUCAUGCUACCCUUGUCACAUGUGACACAUACACAUAAACCUUGCGUGAAUUAUUGCCACACAUGAUACAUGCAUGUAACACACGUUGUUGCCAAGAAGUUUAGAUGGUCCAAAGACCUUUUUUUUUUUAAGCUUAACUUACAGAUUCUGUAUUUCACACAUUUACUGCCCAACUUUACCACUAUGGACAGACCCAGAUCCUGUCUGCUACAGUUUGCGUCUGUUUUUAAAGGUUGUUUCCUUUCAUUUCUUCCCUUGAAAAACUGCCUAGAGACAACUCCGCCUGGCUUAUUUGCCAGGUGCUGGGUGCAGAUUCCAGAUUAAUAGUGUUUUGCUUUGAGUAACUUCCUUUAAUGAUUGUGACUUAUUGUAAAUUAAUGUCUAGUAUGGCGAGUUCUCCUUAAUUGUUUUCUCUAUCUUUCCUGCAGUAAGUUAAAAGUCUUGUUCAAUUAAAAGGACCUUCUGUUGAUAAUUUUUAAAAUUCCAUGUACAGGCUCCCUCGGGGGUGAUUUAAUCUUUUUCUGAUCCCAUACCUACCUGUACAUGAAGUAAGCUUGUAUUUUCACCUUUGCUUCAACUGUCCCUUUGCAUUUCUAAGUAGCAUUCAGACAAUUUCCUCUCAAACACGUCUUAAACAUUUCUUACUAUAUUCGGAGGUUCUUCAUAUUUUUGUGAAGCUGCUUUUGUGUAGGAAAUUUGUUCCUCUCCAUUAGUUUUGUCCCAACCACUGCACCGUACUUACAUUCCCCACUCAUUUGCUGAUGUCUUUUCAACUGUACCUUGUGGUGGUUGUGUGUUCUUGCAUUCGAAUGCCUUUUUCCUACUGUUCUGAUAACGCCUUUCUUCCCCUCUGGUUUCGAAUGUUUUAACGAUCCCUAUUGGAAACCCCUUCACACUGUUACACUAGGUAUAGUUUAUGGACAGUACACGCUACUGAUUCGUCCUCUUUGACUGUAUUUCCAUGUGGUGAGAAGGAUUUCAUCUUGGGCGCAUCUGCAGUAGGAACCACUUCCUGCAGAGUCCCACGGGCCUGUCUUCGUGACUUGGUUUUCACUCUUUCUGCUGGCUCCAUUCUUAGAUAAUUUUAAUGUUUAUUUUUUGACUAUAACUUUCUUCAGUUACGGUUAGAGGGAACUUUGUCGAACUCCCACACAUGGCACAAUUUUGGGAGUUUGAUUUCUGGAGGUCUCCUCUUCUGCCACCCACGGCAUCAGGCAGACAGUCAACUUCCUGCCACCGCCUUCCACCAGUGGACAGAGUUCUUCUGGUCCUUAUUUGCUGGUCUUUGCAUGGAGGGGACAGCCCCAUCUGCCGUCUUUCUAUGGAGGGGACAGCCCCACCUGCCUUGUAGCUUUAUUCACCAAGAUCAGUUCUGGUUCCUCUACCUUGCAGCCCAAGGCACAGCCUUGGGAUCUUAAGGCUCUGCACCUAUGCCCGCCACAUCCCUGUGAACCAGUCGUUUGAAGCAUCUGCUCCGUGUUAUAGGUUUGCUUUUCUAUUGUCUUCUUUGGUGUUUGGGAACUUUCCUUGCUUGCCGAGUUUGAGAUGAUGACGAUAGCAAUGGCGGGGCAAAGACACUUUGACUUUACAAUAACAAUCCGACCCCUAUCCCUCUUGUGUCAUGGUGUUCUCGACAUAACAGGAAGCAGGCAAUUUGCAGAGGUAGUCUUCGGUUCCAACCCAUAACAACUGCCUGAGAGAAGACUGGUUGCUUUUGAAGCAGUUGCCAUGGUUGUUUUUGUUACUAACACCAUUAUGUAACUUCACUGAUUUUUUUUUUUAGAAGCUUAGAUAGUAUUUUCCUGGAAGAAAGGGGUCUGCAAAUUCAAAUGACAAAGCAGGCUAGAUUUCCUAUCUAUCGUAUUGUAGUUGUGGUUAAAUAAUGAUAGUUGAUGAACGGCACCACCAGUUAGUUAGAGGACCUGCUUUGAAAGGUUGUAUUAAAGUAAGGAGGCUGAAUUGCAGGAGGCAGAAUCUACCUUAUUGACUUGCGUGCCACCUCAGGCUUGUGUGUGUGUGUGUGUGUGUGUGUGUGUGUGUGUGUAUGUUGGGUUGGGAAGGCACAGUGCAUCAAGAGUAAUUGUUACUAAGCCCAACUGGAGGACACUGGGAGGUGCUCAGAGGCCAAGGUUCUGAAUGUUUCUCAUUAAUUAUCUUCAAAACAAACGCUCAGCCUAAAAUCCCCAAUUAGAGAGCUGUGCAUGGCUGAGGCAGCCACGGUGGUAAAGUUUGCACUGUACUGGUUUUCAUUUCAGAAGCUGGGGUGGUACACAAUGGAAAAAUGUGGUCUCUGAGUCAGACAGAUUGGGUUCAAACUCUUUCUCUCCCGUUUACCAGCUUUAGGACAGUGAACAGAUUACACGGCUGUUCUGUGGCUCGGUUUCCUCUUCUAAAAUAGAGAGAUAACAAUAACCUUGCAUACACGUCUCAAUGCUACUGCACAGAUUAAGCCAACAGAUACACGGUGAGCUUUCCCAAAGAGGUGGAUUGACAAUCACCCAAGCCCUUACAUGGCACUUCUAGAUCCUUCCAUGUGGAAAUCUCACCUUACUGAAAUACAAGCCACCUGUGGGUGGGUGAAUGUGUCAGCAAAGUCUACUUUGAGGAUCCUAAAGACAGUCUCUCUUGCCUGAUCAGAGGACACAGGAUCUGAAAGCUGAUGCCUCUUUCCAUCCUCUGAAUCCCGAUGACUGCGUUGGGCCCCAAUGCACUCACGAUCGGCCAGAACACUCCCAAUGGAGGUCAUACGUGCAUAGACUGGCCUAUUGGAUGGUGAACAGGAACCAGGGAAAGCCAACAACUCCAUUUUCUACUGGAAAAACGCCCAGGGACUGGUAAGCAACAGAAGCAUUUACAGGAACAUACAUGAAGAGUUUGAGGAGAUUUCAGCAUGUUUACGGGGGGAGAAUCAAGCAACCAGGUUGGUUCAUGCGGGGGAGGCGGGGGCUUGAGCAUUCUCUCUCCUAAAACUGGAUCUACGGGCAGAUCUAUACAUGAGCAUGGCCUAUAACAACCACAUCUUAGGUGUUCUCUCAAAGAUGGGCAUUUAACUGGUCAAAGCAGUGUAUCUCUGAAGUGGGAGGAGAGAGAUACACUAAUAUUGAUAUCGAUGUCAUCUUUCCUACCAUCACUAUUGUGGGGUGAUGAAUAUGGUUGGCUUCUGUCUGUAGGUCCUGAGAGAUAGCCUCACACUCACUGGUUCCUGAACAAGAGGGUAUCAUUCAUCGUGGGCACCUUGGACUGUGCCUGAAUGCUGAUGAGAUGAUUCAGGAUGGAGGUUGGCUAUGGCAGAAAGAUUAAUCACUCCAUUCAAAGUUUGUCACUUUGGGCGUGUGGUGUAGGCCAACCUCUGGGAUCUGGGGUCUAAUGACAUUACACAGCGUAUCAAUCAAUUGUGCUGUGGAAUUUAAACAACCCGAAGACUGGAUUUGGCUUCCUCAUUAAUGGUUGCCUGGUGGACAAAGACUCUGCCUGUGUGUGCAACCCUUCCGGACCAUGCCCCGUUGGUCUUGGUUUGUGUUCUUUGAGUUUUCAGAGCCAUCUAAGGGAUUGCUGAGCCUGAGGAGGUAGGACGAACUUCUUUUUUUAAAAAUUUAUUUAUUUAUUAUAUAUGAGCACACUGUAGCUGUCUUCAGAAACACCAGAAGAGGACAUCGGAUCCAUCCCUGUGACAGAAGGUGGUGAGCCAUCAUGUGGCUGCUGGGAUUUGAACUCAGGACCUCUGGAAGAGCAGUCAGUGCUCUUAACCGCUGAGCCAUCUCUCCAGCCCUAGGACGAACUUCUAAAUUAUCCAGUUUAUAAGAAAGUGCAAGGGAAGGGGCUUCCUGGCACUUGUGAGGUAACAUCUGAGGCAGGUGAAGGGUUGUUGGAACGGUGACCAGAAACUUCAGAGUCUAUGGGAAUUCUACUUGGGUUGGGUUGGGAUCGCGUGGCUAUGGUCGCCUCUACUUGCUCCCCACUAUGCCAUGGACUUAUUACCUAAGUUUGAGUUCUUAUGGCAUUAUACAUAUGCAGUACAACUCAUACCAGAUUUAAACAGUACACUCAAAUAUGCAAAGAAAAUGUUGCCCAUACAAUCGGUUUUAUUUAUCUAACAAUCUCCACUUUUGCUCUCAGCCAUUGAAUUGUGUGAGGAAAAACAAACAAACAAACAAACAAAAAAACGAAUGGAACCUGAGCUUGGUAACUUACAAUACGGAGCCAUUUUUAAUAAACACAUUCCCUUAUGACUCUGGCUGUUUGGAGCACACUGGCAGUAACCCUCCUCCCCCUUUACCUCUGGUUCAUUUAUUUGGGGUUAGAACAAGAGCCUCUAUGCAGUGACAGAAUAGAGGACUCAAAUCCUUGGAGACUUGAGCAAGAGUGGACCAUGCCCUGAGGUAGCAUCCUCUGUCCUAGCCACAAUCACUCCAAAGGACCAAAAGUCCAGGGAGCUGGGAGAUUUGCCCACUGAAUUCUAAACCUUCACUUCUGUGCCUCACUUCAGCUAUCCAAAGCAUUGGAGCAGUUUCCCUUGCUUUCUCCUGCCCACUUCCAGGGCCUGUGCAGGUUUCCUCCUGCUUCAUUCUCCACAGGGUGGGCCUCACAGCCAGAUCUACACCUUAGGGUCUGUAGUCUGGGUUCUGCCUAUUUGGGUUCACCUUCCACACACACAGCUGGGUAUAGGAAGAGAUAAGGGGAAUAUGAGUCCAAGAGUGCAUUUGUAUUCUUUUGGCUUUGGGCACACUGUGAAUGCUCUGGGUUAGCUCUUAGACAGGCAACCAUUGAGGUGUCAGGCCUUUUGUGAUGAUGUAGGGAGAUCUGCCCCUGGGUUCUAUGGUCCUUGAUACAUAUUAUCAGUAGUGGUGCCCAUGGGCACAGGGUUUGUCAAGCCUGACUCUAAGACUCAAUCGGCAAACCUUUCUUCUGCCUCCUUACUUAAACACAGGGGAACUUCUAGAACCCCUACAUACUAUACCCACGUCAUGGGAAGAGUGCUGUCUUUCCAUUUUAGAUGGAAUUCACAUGGGAAGCCUUUAUUGCAGUUGCAUCAUCCAGAACACAGUCCGCAUGUGCCAUGCAGAAAUUCUAGAAGUUUCCCUAUAUAGUAGAACUUAUCGUUGUUAUCAGUAGUGUGGUCAUGGGUGUGUGAUACUAGGGCACCUGUGAGACCCGAGGACAACUUUGUCUCUCUACCUUUAUGUGGCUAGUAAGGAUUGAACUCAGGUUUUAAGGCUUGUGCAGCAAGCACCCCCACCCUCCAUGCUGUCUUUCUGGUCCUCAUCGUGAACCAGAAAAGAACUUAUUUUCAAUCGAGCUGUGCAAUCGAGUACACAUCAGGUUUCCAGGGCCGAGGCAAAAGAAUGACAUGCCUUGUUUUCAAUAGAUUGUGUGAGGAAAUAGUCCGGGAUGUAUUGGGUUUUAAAUAAAAAGCGUUACUGAAAUUGGGGUCUUUUUGUUGUUGUUGUUGUUGUUUGCUUGUUUAUUGUAGCCUGUACUAGGAUUUUGUUGGUAGUGGUUUUCUUUGCUUACAUGUCUUGAUGUUUUGUUAUUCUGGGUAGUCAAAGGGAUGAAUAGAACUAUUGUCUUGGACAAAGGGAGAGAGAUAGAAAGAUGAACAACCACAAAGAAUAAAACAAUUGCAGAUACAAACAUGACCCAGCUCAGCAGAUGGUCCAGAACCACAUCAUAGACCAGCCAUUUUCAGCAAUUCUCCCUGGAGCCCAUCUCUGUUACAAUGCCUGCCUGAGUGUAACCAAGAUCAGUGACUGGGAUAGUGUGGGGCAAGUGGACCACCAGCCAGAAGAACUGGUAAGGUGGAGAGAGCUCAGACUCUGUGAAUCUCAGAAUUGAGAACUAUAGGAGUAGGACCACUCCCUGCCUAACUCUACCUGUUCUGGAACAUGUAACCGCAACACCCCAGUGAGAGGACCCUGGCAAUCAGUCAUGCAGCAUAAAACUCUGCAGUUGUCUAUGCUAAUGAGGUAGGUAUAUAGCUAAGCUUGGUUGUUCAGCCAGUGAGUGUCCCUUCCCGGGCAUCCCUUCCUGCAAAAGGUGUUUAAUCCCAGGUUCACGUUGAAUACGGUGUAUGCAUUCAUUUCUGCCAUCAAAUGAAGAAGAUAGAACAAAGACCGUCUCUUCAUCAAGGACGGAGUGGGGCAAGGGAUGGGCGGUGGUGUCCUUCAUCGUAAAGAUCAGUGUCUAAAAUCUCCUGGAGAAGGCCUUCUCUCCUCCAGCCCCUCUGUACUCUCAGCAGUCACCCAGAAUCAACCCAGGUCUCCUCUACCCCCACCCAGGGCUCUACCUUCCCCUUCCUGGUGUGUAGAUGCCCUGGGGAAAGCGUGGACUCCCAACAGUACUUGGGAACCACAGCAAUCAUCCCAGACACACAGCCCCGCAGGACAGUGGGGACACAGCUGCAUCCUGGACCAUGCCCUAGCUUCCACAGAGGCGGGCCAUGUGGUUGGAGACAGCUCCCUGUCUAUUUCCCUAUGUAGACUUAUAAUUAACCCUCAUUAGGGAAGUGCCCUUAGGAUAUGCCUGCAUCCUGGAGUUUUGAGGUCGACUAAUCUAAUACACAUAAAGGCCACAAGAGGAAGCAAAACAAGGUCUGGUCACAGUUGGGUUCCCUAGUAAAGGAGUGGCGGAUCUCUCUGCACAUGGCUAAUCUAAGGUUUGGUUCCUUCCUAACUUCCUCCGGGUUUCUCGGCUCCAUUUAGAAGCCAUCAAAGCUAAAAUAUACAGUCUCUAUUCUCUAUUACAGCUAAGCAUGAUUUGUUUUAUUUAACUUUUAAAAUGUAGCUGUUGAAAAAUUAGUUAUGCGUAUGAUUCAUAUGAGAUUUCUAUAGGACAGUGUUUUAGAAACAUGGCAGCUUCAACCAAACUAUGCCCAGGGCAACAUGUUAUCAGGCUCCUACUCACCCCAGUCUCACUUCCCCAGCUUUGUCCCCCACCCUCACUCCCACCCUGCUUUGACUCCUCUUCCUUCCCCUUCUUCCUCCCUUCCCCCUUUUCCCCUCCAUCUUCCAGCCUCUCUCUCCACUAUAACUAUUCACUUCACAGUGGAAGAAUAAACUUUUUACUUCAUUUUCUUGUCUCCCAUGACCUGCAUCUUCUCUUUCUCCCCCAAAGUUCUAAGGCACACAGUGCAGUCAUGAUUGUGGGAAGGGAGCCCCUCUAUCCAGGAAAGACACUGUGGCCCUGUCCUUGGGGCCAUGCUCCUGAAAAGUAUUUUGAAGUUUUUUCCUUCUUAACAAUGUUUAGUCUAAAGGCUCUGUUCUUCUGUCCCAAGCCACACUUUGAAUAUAAAAGCAUUCUAUAACUGCCAGGAUAUUGGCCAUCAUUUGUAAUGAACAAGAAUAGAAAAGAUUGUUAUCUCUGGCUGAAUGGUGUGUGUGUGUGUGUGUGUGUGUGUGUGUGUGUGUGUAUGUGUGUGUGUGUGUGUGUGUGUGUGUGUGAGAGAGAGAGAGAGAGAGAAAACCAUGUUUUUUGUUCAUAUUCUUCAUAUGAAUUAUCUAAUGUAACCCUCAACAAUAUAAAAGCUCCAGAAAAAGUGCUCAACUAUAUUUUUUAUAUGAAGAAACAAGAAGAAGUGUAUUAAUGGUAAAACAAAUGCCAGCAACUUAACUCAAAAGCUUUGUUUCUGUAUUUGGUGCUUCUCACUGUCUAUGUUUGGUGCUGCUCUAGGUGCCUGAGAUGUCUCCACAAAUUCAGCAUGGAUCUCCUCCUUCAUGGGACUCAUUUUUUUCUAGCAAGAGGUGAGAUUAUGAACCAUGCUAUAAUACAUGUUAAUAAGAAAGAAUCACACCCUAAUCCCCAAACAUGUGGAUGUGUCACUGAUGUGGUGACCCGACCCUGUUAUUAGGAGAAGAACUAAGUCAACAGCACCUCAUGGUGACGAGGAAAGUAGAGGAGAGGACAGGGAAGAUGUGAAUCAUGAGAGGGACCUGACCCCAUUGUUGGUAGCUUAGAAGACAGAGGAAGGAAGCCAUGGCCAAGGGACAUGAGCAACAUGCAGAAGCUAAGAAUGGCAGCAAGAGGCCUUGGUCCUUUCAACCCAGGGAGUUCUGUGCCAAUAACCAGCAUGGUCAGGACACAUACUUCCCAGAGCCUGCAGGUGUAAACACGGCCUUGACUUUAGUCUUAGGAGAUCUGCCAGAGAAGCCAGCCCAUCCCAUCAGAGUCUUGACCUAGACAAGAGUAAGAUAAAUCUGAUUUUUUUUCAAACUACUAAAGUUUGGUGAUUUCUGGUGACAAAGAAACACAGCAAUACAUAUAAGAUGUAACUGACUCAGACGACAUCCAAUCAGAAAGUACAAGAUGUAACUGACGAGAUAAUGUCCAGUCAGGAAAAGAGAGAUCGCUCUGAAUACUUCAAACAAAGCUUUAAUGCAUGAGACUGGUGUGAGCACUGCAGGAAGGGGUGGUGGACCCACCAGGGAGGGGCGUGGCCUGGUGGAGCAGGCCCAGAGCACUCCCAGUGCCCAGCCUUAUGCCUGCUAUUAUUCAGAGCCCAUGGCCUGUGACUUAGAACUACUUCCACUGAGAGUGCAAUGAAUACAUGUCCCCACUCUACUCGACUUAAGGGACAGAAGCGAUGAGCUUAUGCUGAAGCCAGGCUUACGAGGCCCCUCAGAUUCCACCCAUUCCCUCUCACAGGCUUAUGGCCACCUGGGAGGAGGACAGAGUCCAGUUGCCACAGUGAAAAACAGCUUAGAUAGCGGUGAUCAGCCAGCCUGCAGGCUAGAAUCACUUAGUCAACCUCAGACAGACAAGUAAUAAACACUUACACAUAUGUUUGCUGCUAAAAUUUAUGGUUAUGUGCUACACAGAACCAUUUCAGAAACAAGUAAAUUGCGGUUCUGGAAAAUCAGGAAACUAUCAUCACUACUGGUUUGGAUGAAAAAAGGUGAGAGGCAUAGCCCAGAGGUCAGGAAACUUCCAGUACCCCAAACUGAGGCCCACAGCCUGAUGUUUACCACUGUCUGGCUGAGAUCUGUCCCUGUUACCAAUGAGGUUGGAGACACUGUGGCUAAUGCCGUUGGAAAGUCGGCAAACUAUCCCACCCUCAGGCUGGGGCCCGCGGCAGUCAUUGCUAUUUCUAGCUACUCUGAAUAAGGCAGUAUACAAAGAGCCAGGAGGAAUCCAGUCACUGGACAUCAGCAGCUUGGCUUUGCCCCAACUUGCAGGGCUCAGGCUGAUAACACUUAACACGCUUUAUUGUUUUAAUAAGCUGUGAGACGGGGAGAGAAGUUGGCCUCUGUCUCUCAAGUCCCUUUUGAAGUGUUUGAAUGUCUGACCCUGAGUUCUUUCUCAUGUGUCAUGGUUUGUCUAUGUUUGGCCCAGGGAGUGGCACUAUUAGGUGUAGUGCCUUGUUGGAGUAGGUUUGAUUUUGUUGGAGUAGGUGUGUCACUGUGGGCCUGGGCUUUAAGAGCCUCACCCUAGCUGCCUGGAAGUCAGCAUUCUGCUAGCAGCCUUCAGAUGAAGAUGUUGAACUCUCAGCUCCUCCUGCACCAUGCCUGCCUGGAUGCUGCCAUGCUCCCACCUUGAUGAUACUGGACUGAACCUCUGAAACUGUGAGCCAGCCCCAGUUAAAUGUCUGUUGUGAUAUAAUUAAAAAAGCACACAACCAGGGGCUGGGGAUUUAGCUCAGUGGUAGAGCGCUUACCUAGGAAGCGCAAGGCCCUGGGUUCGGUCCCCAGCUCCGGAAAAAAAAAAAAAAAGAACCAAAAAAAAAAAAAAAAAAAAAAAAAAAAAGCACACAACCGGUUCCUGUGAGUUUCCACACUGUGGACCACUGCACUCUAGUUGUUCUUCUGUCAGCUGCUUUCACACGCUGUCUCUCUGUCAGGUUGUUAACAUGCCUGACACAUACAUUGCAUUCCACGAGCCGUGCUAUCAUGGCCCCACGCCAUGCUAGUCUAAAGCAUUCUAUAGCCUAGCCUGUCUUCCUGUCACAGACUGUGCUCACACUCCCAACAACCCAGUGAAAUCAUGACUCAACAAAUUGUAACCCAACAACCAGAUUUAUAUGUUAAUUACUCAAUGUACAAUACAUCCACACAAUUAACUUACAACCAAUUGAUAAGGAUAUAAACUGCCCACCUAGACACACAUCUUGACCCACAAAAUCCUGUGCACAUCCGUCCCUUAAGAAUAGUCAUAACAACCUGUAGAUGUACAGAGAGGAAUCUUAACAUCUGCCUCCAUGUUCUCUCGGCUGCUCUCUCCUCUGCUCGGGCCUCCUCUCCUCUCCAAAACUUUUCUCCUGCCCAUCCUUCCUUCUCGUCCAAUGAGAGGUCUCAUUCUAUCCUGUACCUGCCUUUACCUGCAUAAUGACAUCAACCUACAGUUGUCCUUAUAAGAGUUGCCUUGGACAUGGUGUCUGUUUGCAGCAGUUAAACACUAAGACAUCAUGUGUAUAUCAUCUCUUUACUACAUCCAGUUGGAACACGAAAAAAUGCCAUGGCCCCUUCAGACUCCAAAGGACCACUGGCCAAACCUGCAUUUAUAGCAAAUUUAAUGGAACUUUUUGACAACCAGGGGAAAGCGGCAGUGAAAAGACAUCAGUGUGUCUGCGUGCGUGCACACACACACACACACACACACACACACGUUUUCACGUUUCCACGAACACAUUAAUAAUAAUAAAUAAAAUACAUUUCAAAGACCAAAACAAAUAUAAAGAAACCAUGCUUGGAUACAUCCUAGCAAAACCAUAGAAAAUCCAAGAUAAAACCCCUAAAAGCAGCUCAGAGAAGAGACAAUGAUAAUUUUUCAAAAGAAAAAUUUGGGAAGACUGACGAGGGGAUUCUCCAGAGAAACAAUGGGGAAAACGGAGAGAACUCACUGCCAGUAGAGCCCAAACCAGAAGAAAUGGUGCCCAGAGAGAGCGAGCAAGCAUCAGGGAAGUGUGGCUGACAGGAAUGUGGCUCUCCUCCGGAGAAGGACGGUGCUCUCCAUAUGAGCUUUAUAGCCACAGAUUACAGCCAUAUUUCUGCCACUGGAUGUUUGUCGAAACCCACAGGACUAUGCACUAAAAAGGCAGGCUUUGCUUACACUUGUCCAAGAGAAGGUUUAAAGUAAGCUGACCAACAUUCGAAGAGCUUUCUUCUGUGUUGCUGAUCUCUACACCCACUCUCUGCCAAUAGCACAGCAUAUCCCAGCACCCACUCUGAAGCAAGCCUUGAAACCCCAUCCAUGCCCUGUGUAAGCUCGUUCUUCUUCAGAAUAAUUUUUAGCUAUUUCACACCAUUCCUGUUUACAUAUGCAUCUUGGUAAUUUCUACAAAAAAAAAAAAAACAAACAAACAAACAAAAAAAAAAAACCCUGCUAACACAGGGUGUCCAUAUUCUAUGGGUCAACUUUGGAUAAUAGACAUGUUAAGUAACCAUUCCCUGAAAUCUAUAGAGAUGACAUAUUUUUCCAUUUAAACAUUUCCCUUGGUAUCCUUCAAUGUGUAUAUAUUUCUUUUUGAAAUAAAAUCCCUCACUGUGCAGUCCGAUUUGACCUUAGAACCUCAUCCCUCCCGAGGGCUGGGGUCACAGAGACAAAUCACCAAGCCUGGAUGAGGUCUGCACAGCUAUUUUAUGUAAUUAUAAAGAAAUUAUUUAUAUGUCCAUCAGCAAGGUAUUUGUAAGUAAAAUAAUUGUACAUCCAUCCCAAAUGAUGAAAUGCCAUCUAUGUUAAGGUGGUUAAGAGAAACCAAAUGAGAAAUAAAAAAAAUCUAUUUUCUUGGUAUCUUCAAAUGGUUUUUUUAAAUUAUCAUAAAAAAUGGAGAAAGAUUCCCCUUCAAAUCAUCCAUCAUUAAUCAGACAAGAAAUGGAGGUCCGUAUUAACAGAGAAACUGCAGAAAGUUCAAGCGCAGUCUUUCAGUACCUCUAGGGUAGCACCCAGCACCAAUGUGAUCAAUAUUGAGUAAAUGACACCCCAGCGCCACUCUGAUCAAUACUGAGUAAAAGUCUGCAUCAGGAAAACUCUGAGGCUUCUAAGUAACAGCCACCAAUUCAGGAACAGGUGCAUUUACUGAUCCGAACAGUAGGGAACACUGCACAGGAAAUCGGUUCUGGCGAACUAGACGACCCAAUGGACCGGAAGCGAAGGACAGGAUGAAGACUGUCAAAAAGGGUGCAGAAAACGUGCUGUAAGUGAAAGACACGUGGCCACCGAAGGGCUGUGUCUGUAUCUCGAAAAACACACACACAGAGCAACAGAUACUGACAUUAAGUUACUUAACAUGGAAGGAUUCUUUAAACAUCUGUGCAGAAAAAAAAAAGUCACCCAAAAGAAAGAAAGACCAGGAUGGCCCCCAAAUUCUCCACAGGGACAUUUAUUUACAGGCGACAGCGGAACAAAACACAGGCGUGCCCGAGGCUGAGGGUAUGACUCAGGGAUACUUGGGUACACUACUCUCCUCAGCCUCACAUUCAAAUAUGGACAGUUCGCACUGCACAGUACUGCAGUGUGACCCAUUUCAUUCAGGAAAACCUAGGUAUUUGUGCCAUGUGUGUAGGUAUCUAGGAAUGCAGGUAUAAAAAGGUCUGAAAAUCUCAGCAGCAGUAAUUAUCUCUAAGAAGUGAAAUUACAACGGAGUCUUUUUCUUUCAACUUUUGUGUUUCUGGAUAGUAAUUUAAAAAAAAAAAAAAAAACCUUUCUGGCAAUUUCUUAAAUUUGUCUGCACAGACAGGGCCGGGGUUUUUAAAGUUCUAAUUCUGAGGAAGUAUUACUCAGAGAAGGAGUAAGAUGGCUAUUUUCACUGGUAAAGCGGGAUGAACAUGGAGAACAUGGGAAGUUAGCCCACGACAAAAGAACUAGAAGAAUCGUAUGAGGUGGGCACCGGGGGCAGGUGGGAGGCAGGUCUCCGGGUGAGCUGUUCUUUCCGAGUCUGGGCCUUCAUGGACUUCCGAACAAUCUGAAAUUUGCAAAGUCCAGGCGUAAGACUAGAAAGAGCGAGCAGGUGCAUUUGAUAAAUGCAAAAGCCAUUGGAUGGCAGAGCUCCACGCAGGGUGGGUCCUGACGUCACACUCACUUGUGGUGAGGCGCGAAAGCUUUUCAGAUGGUAAUGAAACCGGAAGUUGCUCCUUGUCGUUCUGAGCACACUUCCUCCCACAGCAAAAGGCCAAAGGAGAAACAUCAUGAGGCAGCCUGAAUAGUGUGGCCUAGAAAUGCACAGAUCUGGUGAGAAGAGAGAAAAAAAAAAAAAAAAAAAAGAAUUUCUAGACAAAGUGCAUGAAACCGCAGCUAAACAAGGCCUCUGUGUGUUAUAUAGAAAGAGACUUUCAUGAGACUAACACUUUUUUGGAAAGGUAAUUGAACACAAUGAUAGACAAAAUUAAAGUAACUAACACAUGGCCAAUAUACACUGAAAGAUGUGUUCAGAAUUUCUAACCUCCCCACCCCCGCAAGUGCACUUAAUAAUAAGAUACCAUUCUUGGCCUAAAUCACCGGAAAUCAGGAAGUUUAACAAUAGCCAGUGCUAGGGAGGCCAGCUCUUCUAUCAACACUGUUCAGAGUGUGAACUGGUACCUUUCUCAUGCCGACUUGGCGUUCUGCAUCAAAGUAUUACAUGGAUUUUGUUUUGGCUCAGUAAUCACACCUCUAGGAAUGUGUAAGACAGUGGUAGGGUAAGGUUUUGAUACACAUGAGUCUAGAUACAGUAUCUACUAAUAGUUGUCAAACAGAGUGAUUCAUUCUCCUCAUACAUAAUGAUGUGUAACCAUUAAGAGUUAAGACAGCAGCUGAGUGUAAAGCAUGUGUCUGUAACCCUAGCAUCAAGGAAAUAGAGGCGGGAGAAAUACAAGUUGGAGCCUGCCAGACUGAGUUAUGUAAGAAGGCCCCUUCUCACAAAACAAAACGAGACGUCUUCAGACAUAGCUCCCUGUGAUUUGUGGAUGUAUCAUAUUGGUUAACAAAAAAGCGUGACAAGCUAUAUUGUACAUUUACAUCUCCUCAUCUUAACUUUGUGCAUGUCUGUGACUGUGUUUCUGUGUGUGGAUGCACAGAAAGGAAAACCGGGACAGAUACCUGGCAAAUAUUGGCAGCUGUUUCACUCAUGAGAAAGACUGAUGAGACUUUGAUUCUCACAGUGGACAUCUUCACAUAAAUACAGACCUCUAGCUUCACAGGCAGAACAAGAGCUGAUUUCAGAUUGACUUUUAAAAGUAUAAAUCUGAACCCUUAGAAAGUCCAAACACAGGAGAGAGCAUGUGCUUUAAUGAUGGUAAGGAACGUGAUAUAAAAAUCUACUGUUGAGAGGCCGGAGAGACUGACUUCCUGAGAGCCAUGGUUGGAUCCCAGUGCCCAUGUGGUUACUUGGAAUUCUGACCCAGGGGAUCUGACCCCUACUUUUUUGCCUCCUCAGGCACAAAGCACACAAGUGACACUCACACAUACUUUCAGGCACUCACACAUACAUAUAAAACGAAAAUAAAUAAAUAUCAAGAGAAACUUUUAAAAAUCUACUGUUGCAACGCCUUAGCAUGGUGCAAACCCCUAAUCACAAGGCAAGGGCUCGGGGCUGGGGAUUUAGCUCAGUGGUAGAGCGCUUACCUAGGAAGCGCAAGGCCCUGGGUUCGGUCCCCAGCUCCGAAAAAAAGAACCAAAAAAAAAAAAAACAAAAAAAACAAAAAAAAAAACAAACAA